ACCUCUAGCAUUACUAGUAUUAGAGGCACUGCCUGCCCGGUGACACACGUUUAACGGCCGCGGUACCCUGACCGUGCAAAGGUAGCAUAAUCACUUGUUCUUUAAAUAGGGACUUGCAUGAAUGGCAUCACGAGGGUUUGACUGUCUCUUACUUUUAACCAGUGAAAUUGACCUAUCCGUGAAGAGACGGAUAUAGCACAAUAAGACGAGAAGACCCUAUGGAGCUUUAAUUUAUUAAUGCAACUAAAAACUACACAAACCUACAGGCCCCUAAACUACUAUACCUGCAUUAAAAAUUUUGGUUGGGGUGACCUCGGAGCACAGCCAAACCUCCGAAUAAUUAAUGCUAAGACUACACAAGUCGAAGCGAACUAAUAUUUACAACUGAUCCAAUAACUUGAUCAACGGAACAAGUUACCCUAGGGAUAACAGCGCAAUUCUAUUCUAGAGUCCAUAUCGACAAUAGAGUUUACGACCUCGAUGUUGGAUCAGGACAUCCUAAUGGUGCAGCAGCUAUCAAGGUU
RNAcentral lists this ribosomal RNA (524 nucleotides) under Mandrillus leucophaeus (drill). RNAcentral describes it as "partial 16S large subunit ribosomal RNA". It matches the Rfam family "Bacterial large subunit ribosomal RNA", at positions 1818 to 2572 of the family's 2925-position model. Lineage: Eukaryota; Metazoa; Chordata; Mammalia; Primates; Cercopithecidae. The record is from RNAcentral.